CUCUGACUGGUACCAAAUUGAAAC
RNAcentral lists this non-coding RNA (24 nucleotides) under Cricetulus griseus (Chinese hamster). Lineage: Eukaryota; Metazoa; Chordata; Mammalia; Rodentia; Cricetidae. The record is from RNAcentral.